This 508-nucleotide long non-coding RNA is filed under the name Homo sapiens (human). RNAcentral describes it as "long non-coding RNA NONHSAT041277.2". Lineage: Eukaryota; Metazoa; Chordata; Mammalia; Primates; Hominidae. The record is from RNAcentral.
CAUCAGGAUCCCUGGCGGCGCCUGAGCCAGCGGCUGCUAGGAGGCUGUGUCCGCAAGCCAGCGGGGCGAGGCGCCUGGGCCCUGCGCGUCAGGUCCCGGCCUGGGGCACCGGGGCUGCCAGCGUCGGAGGAGGCCUGAGACCUGGGAGGAAGCUGGAGAAAAGAUGCCCUCUGAAUCUUUGUGUUUGGCUGCCCAGGCUCGCCUUGACACCGAAUGGUUGAAAACAGAUAUACAGAUGGUAGUGUCGAACCAAGUGGAACAAAGAAAGAAGAUCUGAAUGACAAAGAGAAAAAAAAUGAAGACGAAACUCCUGCACCUGUAUAUAGGGCCAAGUCAAUUCUGGAGACCUGGGUGUGGGUCAAGCAACCAGGAAACGGAAGCCCAAAGAGGAGGGGAGCUUACAGCAGGCCCUGGACUAGGGAUUAACACAAAAACAACAGCAACAAAUCUGAUUUAAGCUUCACACAUGAGACCGGCCAGCCAAGACUCACAUCCUCAGGCGAGUGGC